This 66-nucleotide transfer RNA is filed under the name Togoperla limbata. RNAcentral's name for it is "tRNA-Ala". It matches the Rfam family "tRNA". Rfam says of the family: Transfer RNA (tRNA) molecules are approximately 80 nucleotides in length. Their secondary structure includes four short double-helical elements and three loops (D, anti-codon, and T loops). Lineage: Eukaryota; Metazoa; Arthropoda; Insecta; Plecoptera; Perlidae. The record is from RNAcentral.
AGGACUAUAGUUAAGUAUAACAUUUGGUUUGCAUCCAAAAAGUAUUGAUUAAAUCAAUUUGUCUUA